Molecule: long non-coding RNA, 243 nt
Filed under: Physcomitrium patens
Lineage: Eukaryota; Viridiplantae; Streptophyta; Bryopsida; Funariales; Funariaceae
Description: long non-coding RNA (PPAT_LNC007942)
Source: RNAcentral
AAUAGAAAUCUUCAUAAAAUAUUAAGAUAAAAAUAUGAAUUAAAUCUUAGUCAAAAUUUAAUCAAAUCUUAGUGAAAUAUUAGUCAAAUCUUUGUCAAUCCGUAAUCAAAUCUUAAAAAAGCCCUAACCAAAUUCUAGACAAAUCCUAAUCAAAUCUUAGUCAAAUCCUAAUUGAAUCUUAUUCAAAUCCUAAACGUACAUCAAUCAAAUCCUAAUCAAAUCUUAAAUAAAUCCUAGUCAAAU